Long non-coding RNA from Phasianus colchicus (ring-necked pheasant), 5954 nucleotides. RefSeq lists it as uncharacterized. NCBI's taxonomy places the organism in Eukaryota, Metazoa, Chordata, Aves, Galliformes, Phasianidae. The record is from RefSeq and is a predicted model, not a curated record.
AAAUCAGGUCUGACCUAAAAACCAGAGAAGCAUCCAUUGAAGGGCCAUUCUCUAUUUACCUAAAAAUAAAAAACAGUGGGGAAAGAAAAAUGUGUACGAACAGAUGAAGAUAAGCACUAGAAAUAAAAUAUUGCACCGGGUAACAGUUGAAAUAGAUUAGUAAAUUAAACUGGCUAAAGUUUGAGGAAGACUUGACCUUGAUUACCUGUCAAAGGUUACUUUCUAGUAUAAGUGUAUGAUUGUGUUGUUAUAAAAAGAGGAUCUGAAUGCAAAAACACUGCAGUGAUUAUUUCCAACUUCUUUAAAAAUACGGAUAGUGAAUCAUUUAAGUUGGACUGCUCUUAUGUUAGUGUUUCCUUGUUUAUUCUUUUUCUCCUUGAUCAGCUAAAAAAUAACUUAUAUUGAUGUUUGGUAGAGCUUGGCCAAGAAUUAAAUGGGCGGAAAUUUUUAUUUACUUGACCCUUUCAGCUUGUGACAGUCAAAAAGUGAAGCACAUGCGGGGUGUCAUAAAGGACUUUUCCUGUUUCAUUAUCUCCACUGUUCUUUUAUGUUUAUAUCCAUUUUUAUUAUGCUUUUGUAAUUUGAGGCACAGUCCAUGAUUAACAGAUGACUGGAACAUCUGUUAAAGAAAGGUGUGGCUCCCUUUUUGGUUGUACAUCCAGACUUUUUAGUGACAAUAAAAAUGCAAAGGGAAAAGGGAGGAAAUUGAAAGGAACAUUUAAUCUGAUAAGGCAUCUGUACUUGUGAGAGAGUACAUAUAGCUUUCAGCAGACUUCAGAUAUGAAGUGCUCUGGUUCUGCACAUGGGGCACAAUGCCAGAUUAUUAGAUGGAUUCUGUGAGAGUAUCAAAUACUAGAAGAAUGCGUGCUCCACAAAAUGCAAAUAUAUAUACCUGUCACGAUCCAUUAUUUUGAUGUAUAAAGUAAUCUCACUGCUUUUAUCUGCUGCUCUACUCUGUUUCUCAUUUUUUCCUUUGCUGCUUCACCUAUUUCUGCCUUCUAUUUUCUGUCAUCUUUUUCUCUGGAGGCCUAAUGUCCCAAAUCACCUUGUGCUCAAUAUACGAGGAAUAGGAAUGACUUCUGUCCAGCAUUCACGCUUUUCCUUAUUCAUAGCUACAUAACCAUUGCUAUUGCUCAUGUUUAAUCUAGAGCACCUUACAUUAACACCAUACUGGAAGAACUGCUUCCCUGCUAAUGUGUAUACCUAUUCAUGAGGCAAAAAUACAGCAGGUACAGUGACUCAGUCAGAAUUUGAUACAUGCUUAAGUCAACUAAUAAGAGGGAAGUUUUAUGCUGCCAAGAUGUUGAAAAAAGCUGCUUUGCUCCCUUUUUCACUCACAAAGUUGCUUUCUAAUCAGUCACUUUGCCUUUACUCAAUUACCAAAUUUUCUAUAACUUCUCAGAACUUUCAUUCUGAAAACUUUGACCAUUUAGUGAAAAUAUUGUCAUUAGUUCAUAGACUUAAAUGUUACCUUGGGGAGCAAAACCAACAUGUUCUGUAAAUCUCACAUCAUGAAGGAGUCGACUAAAGCCAGACUGAGAUCUCUCAGAUGUUUCAGGAAAAAAAAAAUAUUUUCAAACACUGACAUCGAUAGUUUGUUAAUACCAAUAUGCAUAUAAAGAUCCAUGAAAAAUAAAGCAUUUGAAGUAUCUCUGAUUCCUGAGAGCUCUUCAUUUGUAAGAGUAUUUGUAAAUAAGUGGUAUUAGUGGUGCAGAAUGAGGCAGUUUUCUGCUGGUAAAAGGACUUAGGAAAUUUAAUUUACAUGUGCACAUUUCCUUUUUUUGGUGCACAUUAACAGUGAAGUCUAAAAAUGUACUAUAAAUGUACUCUUUAAUUUUGCAGUGAUAUCUUCUGAAGAAUGUAGAUAACUGAAGAAAAUUUUAAUUGAAUCAAUGAAUUCAAAGCAAAUCAUAGUAAGAUUGUCCUCUUAUUUAUUCUCAUAUUUCUUAAUUUCUUUUUCUUUUUCUAUUGUAGAGGGAACAUACAAAAAUUGAUAUGCAUGUUAACAUUUUCAUGAUGUUAGGAUGCUUCUUUGUUUUACCACAAGAAGCUCCACAAAAAUAAUAAAUCAUUAAUUUGGGCACAGUGUCAGCAGCGUCUGUGCCUGUCUGCAACCUCACGAUAUUUAGAGAAAUCAAUCACAUAACCAGUCUUGCUCAGCGAGCUGCUCUAAUGUGUAUUGCUUGAGAUGAAAUUCUUGGUGUAAGGCUGAGCUAAUGUUUGUGGUACUUUGCUUUUCUCUCUUUUGCCUCUGAUUCAUGUCAGUAUGGUUUGGAAGAAUGAAAAAAACCUGUUCUCUUACCUAAUUUUUGAAGAGGCUAAUAAGAUGUUAAUAAAGAGUAGUUUAAAGAGUACUACAGCAUAAUGUUCAACAGCUAAGAUAUAGGCAAUCUACUCAGCUAUAAAUAAUUUCAAGUUAGUCAUUAAGCCUCCAAAUUUGUGCAGUUUUUUCUCUGAUAGAUUAUUUAAAAACAGAUGUUCAAUAAGUAAUUCAUUUCUUCAGUGUAGGGAAUCCCCAGGCUCCUCUGGGAUGUUUGAACUUUCUACUUUUUUCUACCUUGCUUUUAUGCACAGUAGUAAAGGUAUCUCACUGCUGAGAUUGCUGAACAGUGCCCUGAAAGCUUAAUUUCUAGAUUGCUGUGAGGCUGUUUAAGUUACACUGGGGACAAAAGCAGUAUGAAACUAUUUGGGAGGGAGGGAAUAGUUAUGGAGAUAAUCCCAUUUUGCUAUAUCUUGUAUCUAGUGCUCACAGAGUGGAAGAAUAAAGAAGCCUCUCAUUAUACGGCACUGGAGCCUACUAAUAGAUCAAAGCAUUUCUACAGAGCAUUUCAAUAUUAAUGCCAUUUGCCUACAGAUGAAAAUGAAAGAUGAUAGAGAAAUCAAUCAGGACAUUGAUUCCUUGGCAUUAAAAAACUCUGGAAAGCAGAAAUAUUGAAUGAAAUAAUCAUUUCAAGAAUCAUUUUGUGAGCAUGUGGUUUUUUUUUUUUUAGCUUGGGCCCUUCUUCCCUGGCUCAGUACAUGAUGAUGGAUUUUCUUUUUUUUUUCCUGGAGAGAAUCUCUGUAAGCAAAACUGCUCAGUGUUCUGUAACAAAUUUUUAAUUAUGUGAGUUGGUGAUACCAAGAUGUGUCUCAAAUAUAUGUGCUGAGUACUUUGCUCAUCUGUAGCCUGAAUAUUUAUUUCCCGGGGCACACGUGUAUUUUGUACAGUGGCUGUGUGUUUAAUACAGGUAGAGAUGACGAUUUGAGUUCUCUUGCCUCUGUCACCUAUGAUAAUUUGGGUGCAGCCUUGAUGCAAAAGUGCUGAAUUCAAAGUGUUCUUAUUAACUAUCACAAGCCGCAGAAACUUGUUUGAUAAAAAAAUUAUUGUAACCAGAGGUGAAAAGGAAAAAGAGACAUUAGAAUAGGUUAUUUGAAGGCAGACAGAAUAGCCUUGUUAGAAGAGUAACUGGUAGUGGUCUUGUAAUGGCGUGGGCCAGCUCUCUAAGUACCCAGGGAUGAAUCCCAUUGAGCCCCGUAGACCCGCACACAUCCGGCAGGCGCAGCGCACCCCACACAGCUUAGGAGCUGGCUGAGGCCCGCUGCGCUCCCUGCAGCCCCCUGCUGUGCGCAACGCGCAUGCGCCGCGGUUCGCGCCUCGUGACCGUCCGUUGGUGGCGGUUACGCCGCGUGGAAGUUUGGCGCCGUUGCUCCCGGCUCCGAGGUCGACUUUCGGAGUUACGUGGGUGGUUCUUUGGGAGCGGGGCUACAGGAGGUGUAAUCUCAGAGUGUGCACGCGUGGAACAUGUUAAAUUAAAGAGAGUGUGAAGUGUAUCACAGCCACUAUGAAGCUGAAGGAGAAAUAGCGUUUAUUUCAUAUUUUAGCAGCAGAGCCACAGUCUAUCUGAAGCACAAAAUACGUGGCUAAAAGGGCGGAUCAGCCACGUCCUAGUGAGGAAAGAAAGGCGUUGUGCAGCUGUAGUGCUGAAACGGCUCUUGUGAUACAGGAGCAUGAGCAGCUUUGGGCAAGCAAAACAAGAGCCCCUCCUUGUUGGUAAAUCCACGUUCAGCCUUUAUUCAGUGCAAAAUAGCACAGAGAUUACAGGUGGCAAAUGAUAUAAUUUUUGUGAAAUAAGCUGCUGUGUCUCUAUGUAGGAAGGAGGAGCCUGGUUUGUGCAGUGUGCCAAUGCAGCACUAGCAUGUUUGGAGAACAUUCUCAGCUUGAGGCAGCAGCUAAACAGCUGUGCUAGAACAGUGCAGUGUAGGUGGAAUUGUUCAAGAGACCAAGUGCAAGUGAUUGUGCUGCAGGUUUCUGUGGCAGACAUAUGGUGCCCUGCAGAAGUAUGGUUGCCAAACUUGGGAUCAUUGGACUUUUUUCCAAGGUGAAAAUAGAGUUCUUAAAGGAGCUGUCUCCUCCUCUAAUGGCUGCUGAGAGAUCAGUAUUCUGCUGUUGUCAGCUGCAGUUCUAUAUGCCUGAGCUGAUGCAGACGCUAAACAAUACUCAAAAAUCUGCUAUAUGCCAGAGAUAAAUUUCAGAUGUAGGGGAAUAUGUAAUUACAUUUAAAAUCUGUCUGUUGUUCCUUGUACGACAUAUAAUAAUACUUCUUUAACUAUUCAAAGAGGUGUAGAUGCUCUUCGCUUCUAUCCGUCUUCAUUUCUUCCCUUCAUUUUGAGUGAUGCAGUAGCAUAAAUGUGCAAGUUACUGUUUUUCAUGGCUGCUUGGACCAUGUCUAAACCACACCCAGUGAGUUGAACUGAGUACUUUAACAUUCACACACUGGUCCUCGCUCACCAGUCCUCAUACCACUAAGCAGUUUGUGCAGGUUUAGUUCUGUCAUUUUCUAAGAAAGAGACCUGAGUGUAUUGUUAGCAACUGUUGCUUGACAAAGAAGUCUCUGAACAUUUCACAACCUUCUAUAAAAGGAGGAGAGAGGAAGUUCCUUAAUUUUUCUAUUGAACUAUGUAAUGUAAGGAAGAUGGUUUUGGAAAGUAUAUUCCUUCCUGAAUAUUUUGUUCUCUUUCACUCUUUUUUUUCUUUUCGCUUCAAGCUGUUAUAAGGAAAGAAACUCCUACUAAGACGGAAGGAGAAGAUAAAGAAAAUCUCUCUUCUACCCUGGAAGCCAGUGUCUCAGCUGUGGAAAAACUAGUUUAAUGGCUCAAAGAAAAAGAGUCUCAGUUGACCUCACCUCUGAAUCUAAAUAAAAAAUAGAUGAUUUUGAUCUUCAGGGAUUGUUUGACAGUUAGCAGGAUAGCAUCUGUGAAGAUGUGCAGGUCUUUUAGGAAUGUGAUUUUAGGCAUUCACUGAAGAUGCAGCACUAAUAUAAAUGAAAAGUGCAGCAGCUAUGUGGCCAGAAGAUUCUCAGAAGAGCCCUCAAAUUUCUACAUGGAAAUUGGGAGAGUCCUUUCAGAGCAUAUUCAAUUUGGGGCUUGUUUUAAGCUGCUGAAAGUCCCAUGAAGACAGCAUAAGCUACUGUACUGAGAAGUAAAGAGGGAAAAGUAAUCAAAAUGUGAAAUCAGUUGUAUAUGAAUAUGUCACUCAGAAAGAGGAUCUUUCCUAUGAAGGAAAAGUAAAUGCACUUAUUGAGGAACACUGUAGCAGUGUGUGGUCAGAGAAUUUUCUAGAAAGAGGCAAAAAUUCUACUGUUUUGCCCUGUGAUGCAGCUAGAUUCCUGCUGUGUGGCUUAGAAAGAAUUUAAGAGGUUUAUGACAUUUUAAAUAUGCCACUGAGCGAUUGCACCUGAAGGGAAGUCACCACAGAAUGCGUGAAGAAAAAAGAAAAUCACUAGUAGACUUAGCAACAGCAAUAAAACUGAAGAGUAUGGAUCAACCAUGAAUUGGUCAUCAGCUUAGUGAGCUACAAUUUAACCUGUCAGUGCAUCUCCAUUAUCUUUUAUCAGGUCCAGUGACUCCCUGGUUCCCUUUCCUCUCUAACCUUUCACUUGAGUAAAACUGGUGUUCCCUGCUUCUCUGAUUGCUGU